GUUAAGAGCAGGAAAUGAUCGCUGAGGGUGUGAGAUGUCACUUGAGUUCUGUCAGGGCUGACACUUCUCUUCUCCUCCUCUGCGAAAGUCCGCUGUUGUCGCUCACACGAGUCACGUCACAAUGCUCGUCUGGCGCGCCGUCUUUCUUUCUCUUCUUCUCGGCAGGGCUCUGGCUCUGACGAUGACUCAAGACAAGCUCUCUAUGACCAAAGGACCCGGCAAGACCGUUCGAAUAGGCUGCAAGUCGGAUGGCAGCCCCAGCUACAUUCACUGGUAUCGACAGAAAGGCAGCGGAGCUUUGGAGCGAAUUCUCUACACACAAACGAGCACAGGAAUCGAGAGCUACGACAUCGGGGACAGCGAAAGGUUCAAAGCUGACGACAAAGGCUUAACUCUGCGUAUAGACAGAGCUGUGGUGGGCGACACGGCGACGUAUUACUGUGCCGCAUGGGACAGCCACAGUGACGGAGACCGUGGGGACCCCCGCGCAAAAACCUCCGCCCGAUUAAACAAAGCUGCCGCUAAACCGAAUGGCCUUGUCCGCCUCAUAACGGACACACCCGAGUCAAUGAACGCCGCUCUUCUGCAACGAUUGGCGGCCUUGGGGCUGACGGGGAUCCUUUGGUGAGCCGUGAACAGCAGUUAAUGGUGUGCUUUAUGCGCAUG
Non-coding RNA from Erpetoichthys calabaricus (reedfish), 666 nucleotides. NCBI's taxonomy places the organism in Eukaryota, Metazoa, Chordata, Cladistia, Polypteriformes, Polypteridae. The record is from the annotation of a RefSeq genome assembly.